This 1030-nucleotide long non-coding RNA is filed under the name Vulpes vulpes (red fox). RNAcentral's name for it is "lncRNA (ENSVVUG00000000842.1)". The record is from RNAcentral. Lineage: Eukaryota; Metazoa; Chordata; Mammalia; Carnivora; Canidae.
UUCUGCUUCCUUUAAGUCCCACAGAGGAAACAUGGAUCACUCUCUGUUCUCUUCCCCUUAGGCUACUUUAAGGAAAACAACAACAACAACAACAACAACAACAACAACAGCAACAAACAAGGGGCUAUCUUUAUUUAGAAUGACUUAGAUAUAUGAAGUCAACAACUCACUGUGAAAAACUGACUCAUGCUCAAAAGAACAGUAUCUUUUAUUUCCUAUGAUUGUUCCACGGGGAAAAAACCUGCCUUUCCUUGCUGAUGGUGGUGAGGUAACAGCCAAGGAAACUUAAAUUUGCCAUUUGAAGGAGACACAAAAAUAUCUCCUGUGAGUAAAUGAUCUAUAUCAGAAUUGUGGAUUUCUCUCUCCUGCCUUUUCUCAGCCCAGAUGAUGUCUAGAUACAAAAGGAAGCUUUCAGAGAUAGAAGAAGCUGGACUCAGGUCAGAAGGGGUGUCUCUGGAAAAGCAAAGGAGGGGAAAAACAAGACCAACUCUAAGCUGAAGAGGGAUAUACAACUGCAAAGAGUUUGUGCUGUAGAGGUGACAAGACUACACACAGAUUUUUCACUUUACUGAAGUUGAACUGUUGGGGCUACGAUUCUCUGGAUCAGUCCUCCUCUUACCCUCCAUCUAACUCUGGAAAUACUGGAUAUGGGGUUGGCACCUCAAAGCUUCCUUGUCGCUGUCUGGACCAACUCCCUAGAAAGCAUAGCCUAUGGAUGGAAAUGUAUAGCAAGCCCAAAGGCACGAGGCUGCUUCCCACUGGAGCUGUCAAGAGUAUAAAUGGGAGAAACAGGAAGUCUAUACCACAUGGUGAAACUAUCCCAGAAAAUCAAAUGGAUAUAAUCCAUUCCAGCUUCAGCACACAUCAGUUCACAAUGGCAUGUUAGAUAUUUGCUGUAUGGAAUAGCCUUGGGAUCUGAAAUACCUCUUUCUGAAGAAAGAAAAAUUUUUUGAGAAAGAAUAUUAUUAAGAACUCAAACCCAUCAUGUCUUCCACAAUAAAGAAAAGAUGAGCACUGAGAUUUGUGAACA